AACUUAAAAAUAAAUGGACACAAAGGUGCAUGGAGUUGUGGGUGUAUAGCCGAAUGGCACGCCAUGGAGUUGGGUAGAUUUAUGAGCUGAGGGCUUUAAGCUGGUCUGACAUUGCAGAGAUUACUGUAACACCGAAACGGCUAGGCAAGUAGUAGGCGGUGCCUGCAAUUAGACUCAAAUAAAUUGGUUAACAUAAAAGACGUAUAUUUCUUUAAAAAAAAAAACAUUAAUACAAAGCUGAACGUGGCGCACUUUGGUUAUAGUCCUUUUGAAGCUUUAACUUGUUGAGAAUUUCAUGCAAUUUGCGCUGCAGGCAAUAUGAAAGGAAGAAAAUAACAGAAAUUGUUGAACAUCUUAUUAUGCGCUCAAUUUAAGCUAUCAAUACGCUGGCCUGUGGUGCAGCUCAGGCCUGUAACAUGCACUGUAUCGAUGUUGUUCCAAGCGUAAUUGUAAUUGUCAAUGGUGAGUCGCCGGUCGUAUAACGAGCACAGCUUGAUGCAUUUUCGUGGAAAAGCCAGGCGCUAUUCUGACCAAACAAAUGGACAUAAUCAAGAGGCCAACGGCAGGCAGAAGGAUGCGCCCAAAGAAUUGCACAGCAAUUGUGUAAUGAUCAUUCAAUUAAUUGGUCUGCAAUUGAAUAAGUUGUUUUGGUAUCACGCUGUACACUGGCUAUCCAGUCGCGAUUUCACAUUAAGAAAUUUCCAGGAAUUAUAAUUUAACUGCAUGCUUUCAAUUCGCUAAAAUUUUACACUGCCAUCGACCGCGCAAUGCUCUAUUCGCUGUGUAAAAGCCGUUCAAUCAUAUCGAAUGCAGUGUAUUUAAAAUUGUGUCAUUUGCAGAACAUUUAUCUGUAAAAUCCUAUACUCCAUUUUCCCCCUGAGAACAAUGUAGAAAAAGUUAUUUGUUUUAUAUAAUUACAUUACUAGGAAAAAGCCCCGCUUUUUUUCAUGCAUUUCCCGGGAGAAGCUUCUCUAACUCCUUUGUCGUACAAAAUA
This is a non-coding RNA of Drosophila virilis, 995 nucleotides long. The record is from RefSeq and is a predicted model, not a curated record. NCBI's taxonomy places the organism in Eukaryota, Metazoa, Arthropoda, Insecta, Diptera, Drosophilidae.